Molecule: long non-coding RNA, 112 nt
Organism: Amblyraja radiata (thorny skate)
Lineage: Eukaryota; Metazoa; Chordata; Chondrichthyes; Rajiformes; Rajidae
Exons: 3
Source: RefSeq, a predicted model, not a curated record
UUACACUUACCAGUUGUCAAACAUAAAGUGAUUUGCAUGGAUACAUGCGUCACCACAAGCCACCAAGCCCUCUGGAGGAACAUGAUUCAGAGUAAACGGCCCUGUCCCACGG